GAGGAAUUGGCGGCGUGCCUAAUACUCGCAGUCGAGCGAUGGAUUAAGAGCUUGCUCUUAUGAAGUUAGCGGCGGACGGGUGAGUAACACGUGGGUAACCUGCCCAUAAGACUGGGAUAACUCCGGGAAACCGGGGCUAAUACCGGAUAACAUUUUGAACCGCAUGGUUCGAAAUUGAAAGGCGGCUUCGGCUGUCACUUAUGGAUGGACCCGCGUCGCAUUAGCUAGUUGGUGAGGUAACGGCUCACCAAGGCAACGAUGCGUAGCCGACCUGAGAGGGUGAUCGGCCACACUGGGACUGAGACACGGCCCAGACUCCUACGGGAGGCAGCAGUAGGGAAUCUUCCGCAAUGGACGAAAGUCUGACGGAGCAACGCCGCGUGAGUGAUGAAGGCUUUCGGGUCGUAAAACUCUGUUGUUAGGGAAGAACAAGUGCUAGUUGAAUAAGCUGGCACCUUGACGGUACCUAACCAGAAAGCCACGGCUAACUACGUGCCAGCGCCGCGGUAAUACGUAGGUGGCAAGCGUUAUCCGGAAUUAUUGGGCGUAAAGCGCGCGCAGGUGGUUUCUUAAGUCUGAUGUGAAAGCCCACGGCUCAACCGUGGAGGGUCAUUGGAAACUGGGAGACUUGAGUGCAGAAGAGGAAAGUGGAAUUCCAUGUGUAGCGGUGAAAUGCGUAGAGAUAUGGAGGAACACCAGUGGCGAAAGCGACUUUCUGGUCUGUAACUGACACUGAGGCGCGAAAGCGUGGGGAGCAAACAUGGAUUAGAUACCCUGGUAGUCCACGCCGUAAACGAUGAGUGCUAAGUGUUAGAGGGUUUCCGCCCUUUAGUGCUGAAGUUAACGCAUUAAGCACUCCGCCUGGGGAGUACGGCCGCAUGCUGAACGAAAUGGAAAUUUGGCGGAAUUGCUCCCCCGGGGCCAUAAUCACUUAGUUAAGGUGCC
RNAcentral lists this ribosomal RNA (945 nucleotides) under Bacillus cereus. Its description in RNAcentral is "bacterial SSU rRNA". It matches the Rfam family "Bacterial small subunit ribosomal RNA". The record is from RNAcentral. Lineage: Bacteria; Bacillati; Bacillota; Bacilli; Caryophanales; Bacillaceae.